Molecule: RNase P RNA, 335 nt
Filed under: Lachnospiraceae bacterium
Lineage: Bacteria; Bacillati; Bacillota; Clostridia; Lachnospirales; Lachnospiraceae
Description: RNase P RNA component class A
Rfam family: Bacterial RNase P class A
About the family: Ribonuclease P (RNase P) is a ubiquitous endoribonuclease, found in archaea, bacteria and eukarya as well as chloroplasts and mitochondria. Its best characterised activity is the generation of mature 5'-ends of tRNAs by cleaving the 5'-leader elements of precursor-tRNAs. Cellular RNase Ps are ribonucleoproteins.
Source: RNAcentral
UGAGUGAAACGGGCGAUCGCGGCUCCGAUUCGGAGGUGAGGAAAGUCCGGGCUUCACAGGGCAGGAUGCCGGAUAACGUCCGGUAGAGGUGACUCUCAGGAAAGUGCAACAGAAAACAACCGCCGCGCAAGCGGUAAGGGUGAAAAGGCGGUGUAAGAGACCACCGCUUAUCCGGUAACGGAUAAGGCUGUGUAAACCCCAUCCGAAGCAAGACCAAACGUAGCCUAUAAGCUUGCCCGGCUUGGCUCAGGUAGGUUGCUUGAAAUUCGUGGCAACACGGAUUCUAGACAGAUGAUCGUCCAAGACAGAACCCGGCUUACAGUUUCACUCGGAUC